AGAGUUUGAUCCUGGCUCAGAUUGAACGCUGGCGGCAUGCCUUACACAUGCAAGUCGAACGGCAGCAUGAUCUAGCUUGCUAGAUUGAUGGCGAGUGGCGAACGGGUGAGUAAUACACCGGAACGUGCCCUGUAGUGGGGGAUAACUAGUCGAAAGAUUAGCUAAUACCGCAUACGACCUGAGGGUGAAAGUGGGGGACCGCAAGGCCUCAUGCUAUAGGAGCGGCCGAUGUCUGAUUAGCUAGUUGGUGGGGUAAAGGCCCACCAAGGCGACGAUCAGUAGCUGGUCUGAGAGGACGAUCAGCCACACUGGGACUGAGACACGGCCCAGACUCCUACGGGAGGCAGCAGUGGGGAAUUUUGGACAAUGGGCGAAAGCCUGAUCCAGCAAUGCCGCGUGUGUGAAGAAGGCCUUCGGGUUGCAAAGCACUUUUGUCCGGAAAGAAAUGGCUCUGGUUAAUACCUGGGGUCGAUGACGGUACCGGAAGAAUAAGGACCGGCUAACUACGUGCCAGCAGCCGCGGUAAUAC
RNAcentral lists this ribosomal RNA (529 nucleotides) under uncultured Ralstonia sp. RNAcentral's name for it is "bacterial SSU rRNA". It matches the Rfam family "Bacterial small subunit ribosomal RNA", at positions 8 to 526 of the family's 1533-position model. Lineage: Bacteria; Pseudomonadati; Pseudomonadota; Betaproteobacteria; Burkholderiales; Burkholderiaceae. The record is from RNAcentral.